GAUAUCAUAGCGGAGGAAAGGCGGGCUGGAUUCUCUCGGGGUUACAGCCUUGCUGAAUUAUUCCCCCUUGUCUUUUGCGUACUUCUUGUUUCCUUGGUGGGUUCGCCCACCACUAGGACAAACAUAAACCUUUUGUAAUUGCAAUCAGCGUCAGUAACAAAUUAAUAAUUACAACUUUCAACAACGGAUCUCUUGGUUCUGGCAUCGAUGAAGAACGCAGCGAAAUGCGAUAAGUAGUGUGAAUUGCAGAAUUCAGUGAAUCAUCGAAUCUUUGAACGCACAUUGCGCCCUUUGGUAUUCCAAAGGGCAUGCCUGUUCGAGCGUCAUUUGUACCCUCAAGCUUUGCUUGGUGUUGGGCGUCUUGUCUCUAGCUUUGCUGGAGACUCGCCUUAAAGUAAUUGGCAGCCGGCCUACUGGUUUCGGAGCGCAGCACAAGUCGCACUCUCUAUCAGCAAAGGUCUAGCAUCCAUUAAGCCUUUUUUUCAACUUUUGACCUCGGAUCAGGUAGGGAUACCCGCUGAACUUAAGCAUAUCAUU
RNAcentral lists this ribosomal RNA (537 nucleotides) under Alternaria sp. JF-Alt26. Its description in RNAcentral is "eukaryotic LSU rRNA". The stretch from base 173 to 326 matches the Rfam family "5.8S ribosomal RNA". The record is from RNAcentral. Lineage: Eukaryota; Fungi; Ascomycota; Dothideomycetes; Pleosporales; Pleosporaceae. RNAcentral also lists the same sequence under 1 other name.